Molecule: ribosomal RNA, 253 nt
Filed under: uncultured bacterium
Lineage: Bacteria
Description: partial 16S ribosomal RNA
Rfam family: Bacterial small subunit ribosomal RNA
Source: RNAcentral
UACGUAGGGGGCAAGCGUUGUCCGGAUUAUUGGGCGUAAAGAGCGUGUAGGCGGCUGGGUAGGUCCGUUGUGAAAACUCGAGGCUCAACCUCGAGACGCCGAUGGAAACCCCCCAGCUAGAGUCCGGAAGAGGAGAGUGGAAUUCCUGGUGUAGCGGUGAAAUGCGCAGAUAUCAGGAAGAACACCCGUGGCUAAGGCGGCUCUCUAGUACGGUACUGACGCUGAGACGCGAAAGCGUGGGGAGCGAACAGGG